GAUGAACGCUGGCGGCGUGCCUAAUACAUGCAAGUCGAGCGAACGGACGAGAAGCUUGCUUCUCUGAUGUUAGCGGCGGACGGGUGAGUAACACGUGGAUAACCUACCUAUAAGACUGGGAUAACUUCGUGAAACCGUAGCUAAUACCGGAUAAUAUUUUGAACCGCAUGGUUCAAAAGUUAAAGACGGUCUUGCUGUCACUUAUAGAUGGAUCCGCGCUGCAUUAGCUAGUUGGUAAGGUAACGGCUUACCAAGGCAACGAUGCAUAGCCGACCUGAGAGGGUGAUCGGCCACACUGGAACUGAGACACGGUCCAGACUCCUACGGGAGGCAGAAGUAGGGAAUCGUCCGCAAUGGGCGAAAGCCUGAAGGAGCAACGCCGCGUGAGUGAUGAAGGUCUUCGGAUCGUAAAACUCUGUUAUUAGGGAAGAACAUAUGUGGAAGUAACUGUGCACAUCUUGACGGUACCUAAUCAGAAAGCAACGGCUAACUACGUG
Molecule: ribosomal RNA, 497 nt
Filed under: uncultured bacterium
Lineage: Bacteria
Description: partial 16S ribosomal RNA
Rfam family: Bacterial small subunit ribosomal RNA
Source: RNAcentral